This 461-nucleotide ribosomal RNA is filed under the name uncultured Paracoccaceae bacterium. Its description in RNAcentral is "bacterial SSU rRNA". It matches the Rfam family "Bacterial small subunit ribosomal RNA", at positions 22 to 524 of the family's 1533-position model. The record is from RNAcentral. Lineage: Bacteria; Pseudomonadati; Pseudomonadota; Alphaproteobacteria; Rhodobacterales; Paracoccaceae.
GCUCAGAACGAACGCUGGCGGCAGGCCUAACACAUGCAAGUCGAGCGCUUCACUUCGGUGAGGAGCGGCGGACGGGUUAGUAACGCGUGGGAAUAUACCCUUUUCUAUGGAAUAGCCUCGGGAAACUGAGAGUAAUACCAUAUACGCCCUUCGGGGGAAAGAUUUAUCGGUGAAGGAUUAGCCCGCGUAAGAUUAGAUAGUUGGUGGGGUAAUGGCCUACCAAGUCUACGAUCUUUAGCUGGUUUGAGAGGAUGAUCAGCAACACUGGGACUGAGACACGGCCCAGACUCCUACGGGAGGCAGCAGUGGGGAAUAUUGGGCAAUGGGCGAAAGCCUGAUGCAGCAACGCCGCGUGAGCGAUGAAGGCCUUUGGGUCGUAAAGCUCUGUCCUUGGGGAAGAAACAAAUGACGGUACCCUUGGAGGAAGCCCCGGCUAACUACGUGCCAGCAGCCGCGGUAAU